Molecule: ribosomal RNA, 459 nt
Filed under: uncultured bacterium
Lineage: Bacteria
Description: partial 16S ribosomal RNA
Rfam family: Bacterial small subunit ribosomal RNA
Source: RNAcentral
CUACGGGGCGCACCAGUGAGGAAUAUUGGUCAAUGGCCGAGAGGCUGAACCAGCCAUCCCGCGUACAGGAUGACGGCCCUAUGGGUUGUAAACUGCUUUUCUACGCCAAGAAAUCUGAUUACGUGUAAUUAGUUGACGGUAGCGUAGGAAUAAGCAUCGGCUAACUCCGUGCCAGCAGCCGCGGUAAUACGGAGGAUGCAAGCGUUAUCCGGAGUCAUUGGGUUUAAAGGGUGCGCAGGCGGGCUUGUAAGUCAGUGGUGAAAUACUGCCGCUUAACGGUAGAACUGCCAUUGAUACUGCAAGUCUUGAAUAUGGUUGAGGUAGGCGGAAUGUGUUGUGUAGCGGUGAAAUGCAUAGAUAUGACACAGAACGCCGAUUGCGAAGGCAGCUUACUAAGCCAUUAUUGACGCUGAGGCACGAAAGCGUGGGGAGCGAACAGGAUUAGAUACCCUCGUAGUC